UCAAGAUUUGCUCUGAUGGGAUAUGGGUAUAAAUGUCCCUCCGAUCUGAGACCGCCACGGUGACUUGCAAGCAACUCACUGCACUUAGGCACUGGACUACCUGAAUUUCUAAUUCAGUGACGGAAGGCUGCUGGGUGUAGUCAAGUACUUGACUUGUCGGUACGUGUGUCAAGAUGGGAUUGACCACUCCAGUUCAGGAGCUGUGUACAGUCGUAUUUCAAUUUAGUAAAACCUUGGCCAG
Molecule: long non-coding RNA, 241 nt
Filed under: Elaeis guineensis (African oil palm)
Lineage: Eukaryota; Viridiplantae; Streptophyta; Magnoliopsida; Arecales; Arecaceae
Description: long non-coding RNA (EGUI_LNC044686)
Source: RNAcentral